Molecule: ribosomal RNA, 230 nt
Filed under: uncultured bacterium
Lineage: Bacteria
Description: partial 16S ribosomal RNA
Rfam family: Bacterial small subunit ribosomal RNA
Source: RNAcentral
UGAGCAACCUGCCCUUGACACUGGAAUAACAGCUGGAAACAGCUGCUAAUACCGGAUACGACCUUCGAUGACAUCAUCUGGAGGUGGAAAGCUCCGGCGGUCAAGGAUGGGCUCGCGGCCUAUCAGCUUGUUGGUGAGGUAACGGCUCACCAAGGCUUCGACGGGUAGCCGGCCUGAGAGGGCGACCGGCCACACUGGGACUGAGAUACGGCCCAGACUCUACCGGGAGG